Molecule: ribosomal RNA, 301 nt
Filed under: uncultured bacterium
Lineage: Bacteria
Description: partial 16S ribosomal RNA
Rfam family: Bacterial small subunit ribosomal RNA
Source: RNAcentral
CAGUCGCCGCGGUAAUACGAGGGGGGCAAGCGUUGUUCGGAAUUAUUGGGCGUAAAGGGUGCGUAGGCGGUUUGACAAGUCUUAUGUGAAAUCUCUGGGCUCAACCCAGAGUCUGCAUGGGAAACUGUCGGGCUUGAGUAUGGGAGAGGUGAGUGGAAUUUCCGGUGUAGCGGUGAAAUGCGUAGAUAUCGGAAGGAACACCUGUGGCGAAAGCGGCUCACUGGACCAUAACUGACGCUGCUGCACGAAAGCUAGGGGAGCAAACAGGAUUAGAUACCCGGGUAGUCCCUGUCUCUUAUAA